CCCCGGCCGGCCGGACCGGCGCGACGGUGGUAACACGUAUGAAACCUGCCCGUAGCAGGGGGAUAAGCGGAAGAAAUUCCGUCUAAUACCGCGUAACAACCCAUGGAGGCAUCUCUGUGGGUUUAAAGGAAGCGAUUCCGGCUACGGAUGGUCAUGCGUCGCAUUAGCUUGUUGGCGGGGUAACGGCCCACCAAGGCGACGAUGCGUAGGGGUUCUGAGAGGAAGGUCCCCCACACUGGUACUGAGACACGGACCAGACUCCUACGGAAGGCAGCAG
This 277-nucleotide ribosomal RNA is filed under the name uncultured bacterium. RNAcentral's name for it is "partial 16S ribosomal RNA". It matches the Rfam family "Bacterial small subunit ribosomal RNA", at positions 78 to 354 of the family's 1533-position model. The record is from RNAcentral.